RNAcentral lists this long non-coding RNA (991 nucleotides) under Homo sapiens (human). RNAcentral's name for it is "HSALNT0328129". The record is from RNAcentral. Lineage: Eukaryota; Metazoa; Chordata; Mammalia; Primates; Hominidae.
AAUCAACACUCCACUCAGACAAUGCCCAGACCUCCAGAAACCAUGUGUCAAGCUCGGAUUGCCUUAGACAGGUGCAAUUUAAGAACAGCUUUCAUCCUCUUUUCUCUCAUAUUGUCACACUAUGUGUUCUGACUUCUGGCUCCUUUCCUCACAAGAAGCUCACCCAGCUGGAACUCUUAUGGGACCUUGGCACCAGAGACCACAAAUUCCUCUUUGAAGUUUUCUAACAGCAACAAUGGUAUUUCUGACUUGGCUUUCUUGUAUUUCUCUCACGUUAACAAAAUUGGUUCAGCAUCUACCAUGGGCUACAUGCUGAGCUACAGAGUUUCGCUCUGUCGCCCAGGCUGGAGUGCAGUGGCGCGCGAUCUCGGUUCACUGCAAGCUCCACCUCCCGGGUUCACGCCAUUCUCCUGCCUCAGCCUCCUGAGUAGCUGGGACUACAGGCGCCCGCCACCACACCCAGGAACAAAACCCAUCAGAAGAUGUCAGAAGAUAAGGAUUUUUGUCCUGAUGCUACACUUACCAGCUGUCCCUCAGUGUUCUACUUCUUAAAAAAAGAGAGAUGGAUAAACAGAGGCAACCCGAGGAUAAAGGCCUUGCUCAGUGUCACACAUUUCAGUCACUAAAUAAGACACAAUGGAUGCCAGUAUUCUCAUCCCCUCACAAAUAAAGAGCCUUCAAGCUCUUGCAGUCAACAAGAACUUUUGGAAUGAUUUCACUGCCUGAAAAGGCAGAUACAUAGGUGACACCCACAAAUAGGAAGAAAAUCAACCUGAACCUGAGUGUGUGGGCUCACUGACUCUAAGCAGUAGAGACAGAAGAAAAAGUUUUAGCAAAGAAGGGUUCUGAAAGAAAAUAAAUAUAGCUCGUUAUCAAGUGCUGUUUUUACACAGUAAAACAUGGGCAAAAUUACUCUUCUUUAAGUAGUAAUUCUUAUCUCUUGAUUAAGUCACCUACUCAUUCAUUUAAUAAAUACAUACUGAUUGUUUUC